ACAUCCAGAGAACUUAGCAGAGAUGCUUUGGUGCCUUCGGGAACUCUGAGACAGGUGCUGCAUGGCUGUCGUCAGCUCGUGUUGUGAAAUGUUGGGUUAAGUCCCGNAACGAGCGCAACCCUUAUCCUUUGUUGCCAGCGGUUCGGCCGGGAACUCAAAGGAGACUGCCGGUGAUAAACCGGAGGAAGGUGGGGAUGACGUCAAGUCAUCAUGGCCCUUACGGCCAGGGCUACACACGUGCUACAAUGGCGCAUACAAGAGAAGCGACCUCGCGAGAGCAAGCGGACCUCAUAAAGUGCGUCGUAGUCCGGAUUGGAGUCUGCAACUCGACUCCAUGAAGUCGGAAUCGCUAGUAAUCGUAGAUCAGAAUGCUACGGUGAAUACGUUCCCGGGCCUUGUACACACCGCCCGUCACACCAUGGGAGUGGGUUGCAAAAGAAGUAGGUAGCUUAACCUUCGGGAGGGCGCUUACCACUUUGUGAUUCAUGACUGGGGUGAAGUCGUAACAAGGUAGGCGUAGCGAG
Molecule: ribosomal RNA, 524 nt
Filed under: uncultured bacterium
Lineage: Bacteria
Description: bacterial SSU rRNA
Rfam family: Bacterial small subunit ribosomal RNA
Source: RNAcentral